UCAUAUUUGGCUUCUGUCAGAUUAAAAAAGGAAACCACUCUGUGUUCUGCAGACGAAACGAAUAAAAAAUACCUCGUCUCAAGUUCAAUGAAAAUUAUUUUUCACGUGAAUAAUAAUUAUAACAAUGUUUAGAGGCUUUUUCACAUUUGUUAUAGGCCUCUACGCCGGAAUAUACUUAGCUCAAAAUUACGAUGUACCAAAAGUAGAUGAUCCACAAAAUUUAUAUACUAAGAUAAAGGAAUUUGCAGAUAAACAUAGGAAGGAUUGAAAUGAAUUUGUAGAUAAUUAAACAUUGAAUUUAAUAAAUGUGAUAUAUAUUAA
This is a long non-coding RNA of Coccinella septempunctata (seven-spotted ladybird), 321 nucleotides long. RefSeq lists it as uncharacterized. The record is from RefSeq and is a predicted model, not a curated record. Lineage: Eukaryota; Metazoa; Arthropoda; Insecta; Coleoptera; Coccinellidae. The transcript is spliced from 3 exons.